RNAcentral lists this transfer RNA (72 nucleotides) under Manacus vitellinus (golden-collared manakin). It matches the Rfam family "tRNA". From Rfam's summary of the family: Transfer RNA (tRNA) molecules are approximately 80 nucleotides in length. Lineage: Eukaryota; Metazoa; Chordata; Aves; Passeriformes; Pipridae. The record is from Rfam by way of RNAcentral.
CCCCUGGUGGUCUAGUGGUUAGGAUGUGGCGCUCUCACCACCACGGCCUGGGUUCGAUUCCCGGUCAGGGAA